CACAUAUAAAGUGAAUCGAUUGAGUGCUCGACGAUAAUGAUGGCUGGUCGACGAAUCACCCUCAGACGAUUCAUUUAGAGGUGAAUCACCCUCAGACGAUUCGUUUAGAGGUGAAUCACCCUCAGACGAUUCGUUUAGAGGUGAA
Non-coding RNA from Salmo salar (Atlantic salmon), 145 nucleotides. NCBI's taxonomy places the organism in Eukaryota, Metazoa, Chordata, Actinopteri, Salmoniformes, Salmonidae. The record is from RefSeq and is a predicted model, not a curated record.